GAUGAACGCUGGCGGCGUGCCUAAUACAUGCAAGUCGAGCGAACGGGCGAGAAGCUUGCUUCUCUGAUAUUAGCGGCGAACGGGUGAGUAACACGUGGAUAACCUACCUAUAAGACUGGGAUAACUUCGGGAAACCGGUGCUAAUACCGGAUAAUAUUUUGAACCGUAUGGUUCAAGAGUGAAAGAUGCUCUUGCUUUCCCUUAUAGUGGGCUCCGCGCUGCAUUAGCUAGUUGGGAAGGUAACGGCUUACCAAGGCAACGGAGCAUGGCCGACCUGGAAGGGUGAUCGGCAACACGGGAACGAGGAACCGGUCCAAACUCCUACGGGAGGCAGAAGAAGGGAAUCUUCGGAAAGGGGCGAAAGCCUGACGGAGCAACGCCGCGUGAGUGAUGAAGGUCUUCGGAUCGUAAAACUCUGUGAUUAGGGAAGAACAUAUGUGUAAGGAACUGUGCACAUAUUGACGGUAACUAAUCAGAAAGCCACGGCUAACUACGUG
Molecule: ribosomal RNA, 497 nt
Filed under: uncultured bacterium
Lineage: Bacteria
Description: partial 16S ribosomal RNA
Rfam family: Bacterial small subunit ribosomal RNA
Source: RNAcentral